GACGAACGCUGGCGGCGUGCCUAAUACAUGCAAGUAGAACGCACAGUUUAUACCGUAGCUUGCUACACCAUAGACUGUGAGUUGCGAACGGGUGAGUAACGCGUAGGUAACCUGCCUGGUAGCGGGGGAUAACUAUUGGAAACGAUAGCUAAUACCGCAUAAUAUUGAUUAUUGCAUGAUAAUUAAUUGAAAGGUGCAAUUGCACCACUACUAGAUGGACCUGCGUUGUAUUAGCUAGUAGGUGAGGUAACGGCUCACCUAGGCGACGAUACAUAGCCGACCUGAGAGGGUGGGUGGCCACACUGGGACUGAGACACGGCCCAGACUCCUACGGGAGGCAGCAGUAGGGAAUCUUCGGCAAUGGACGGAAGUCUGACCGAGCAACGCCGCGGGAGUGAGGAAGGUUUUCGGGUCGUAAAGCUCUGUUGUAAGGGAAGAACGGGUGUGAGAGUGGAAAGUUCACACUGUGACGGUAUCUUACCAGAAAGGGACGGCUAACUACGUG
Molecule: ribosomal RNA, 505 nt
Filed under: uncultured bacterium
Lineage: Bacteria
Description: partial 16S ribosomal RNA
Rfam family: Bacterial small subunit ribosomal RNA
Source: RNAcentral